Molecule: long non-coding RNA, 222 nt
Filed under: Fukomys damarensis (Damara mole-rat)
Lineage: Eukaryota; Metazoa; Chordata; Mammalia; Rodentia; Bathyergidae
Description: lncRNA (ENSFDAG00000023829.1)
Source: RNAcentral
GUAACGGCUGCUUUGCUUUGUUUGGAUUCAGGGUCUCUCAUACGACAAUGGAUGUGUCAAUGAAGAGCUACUUUUUUUCCUUCCAAGAGUGGUUGGCCCCAUAUAGAGCUAUUGAUCUCCAAAGUGAUUAACAUUGCUUAAUUACAACCCCACUUUGAAAUGAAGACUGCAUGUCAAUAGCCACAUAAAUAAAAUUCUAAGGAAACAUCAAAUUUCAGGUGA